Ribosomal RNA from Astyanax mexicanus (Mexican tetra), 122 nucleotides. Lineage: Eukaryota; Metazoa; Chordata; Actinopteri; Characiformes; Acestrorhamphidae. The record is from Ensembl.
AUAGACGGUCACACUACCCUGAGCAACGCGCCGAUCUCGUCUGAUUUCGGAAGCUAAGCAGGGUUUGGCCUGGUUAGUACUUGGAAUGGAGAGACCACCUGGAAUACCAGGUGCUGUAAGCU